This 721-nucleotide long non-coding RNA is filed under the name Homo sapiens (human). RNAcentral's name for it is "HSALNT0018522". Lineage: Eukaryota; Metazoa; Chordata; Mammalia; Primates; Hominidae. The record is from RNAcentral.
CCUUUAAAAGACUCGAAAUUAUGUGGAUUCUGACAUCCUCCUUUUCGGGCCUGCUGAGUCACGGAAUAUUCUCAGUGCCAGAAUGACUCAGUUCACAGAACCUGAGCCAGAAGAUCAUGAGUUUUAGUCCCGGAGCAGAACCUGGGCGCUUACCCAGUGCUGGAUACGGCAAGCAGAGACCAGGGCAGGGAGGCAGCAGCUUGAAACCCUUGGCGUCCCCAAGCAGAGAGGAUGCACAUAGUGAAUGACACGGAUUUGUUUUGUUCUAGCUUUUCAGGAAUUUAAUGAUAAAGUGCGGAUAAUAAGUACACCGCAAAAACAAAACAAAAAAACACAUGCAUAAUUUCGGACCCAGUUGUCCCAUUAAGAUAGGCGUAAUGGGAAUCUGAAACAAGGAAAUAAGUAUAUGUUAGGUGACUCUGGAUAGUUAGGGUUAGUUAGACGCAGACUGCUGAUUAGGAAAACCUUAAGGAUAAUGUUCUGGUAGGAUGAAGAAGGGAGGGGAAUCUAGGGUCUUGUUACACGGCUGAGCUUACUUAGCAAGUUAUGUUCAUCACUGUUCCGUUUAUUUGAUGAGAUGGGUGGAGAUUAUGCAUGGCUAAAGGUGCCUCAUUCUUGGCACCUUCUCUUUGGGAGAAUUAAGUUGUGGGGACUAAUAAUUUUUUAAUCCUUUCAUACAUGAGUUGAAGCGAAAUAAAUACGUUCAUUUACACCUAGAGGG